GAUGAACGCUGGCGGCGUGCCUAAUACAUGCAAGUCGAGCGAACGGACGAGAAGCUUGCUUCUCUGAUGUUAGCGGCGGACGGGUGAGUAACACGUGGAUAACCUACCUAUAAGACUGGGAUAACUUCGGGAAACCGGAGCUAAUACCGGAUAAUAUUUUGAACCGCAUGGUUCAAAAGUGAAAGACGGUCUUUCUGUCACUUAUAGAUGUAUCCGCGCUGCAUUAGCUAGUUGGUAAGGUAACGGCUUACCAAGGCAACGAUGCAUAGCCGACCUGAGAGGGUGAUAGGCCACACUGGAACUGAGACACGGUCCAGACUCCUACGGGAGGCAGCAGUAGGGAAUCGUCCGCAAUGGGCGAAAGCCUGACGGAGCAACGCCGCGUGAGUGAUGAAGGUCUUCGGAUCGUAAAACUCUGUUAUUAGGGAAGAACAUAUGUGUAAGUAACUGUGCACAUCUUGACGGUACCUAAUCAGAAAGCCACGGCUAACUACGUG
This 497-nucleotide ribosomal RNA is filed under the name uncultured bacterium. Its description in RNAcentral is "partial 16S ribosomal RNA". It matches the Rfam family "Bacterial small subunit ribosomal RNA", at positions 28 to 507 of the family's 1533-position model. The record is from RNAcentral.